This 253-nucleotide ribosomal RNA is filed under the name uncultured bacterium. Its description in RNAcentral is "partial 16S ribosomal RNA". It matches the Rfam family "Bacterial small subunit ribosomal RNA", at positions 524 to 776 of the family's 1533-position model. The record is from RNAcentral.
UACGUAGGGAGCAAGCGUUGUCCGGAAUCAUUGGGCGUAAAGCGCGCGUAGGUGGCUUCGUAAGUCCGUUGUGAAAGUCAAAGGCUCAACCUUUGAAAGCCGAUGGAUACUGCGGAGCUAGAGUACGGAAGAGGCGAGUGGAAUUCCUGGUGUAGCGGUGGAAUGCGCAGAUAUCAGGAGGAACACCAAUAGCGAAGGCAGCUCGCUGGGACGUUAUUGACACUGAGGCGCGAAAGCGUGGGGAGCGAACAGG